UCGGGAAUUUUGGGCAAUGGGGGAAACCCUGACCCAGCAACGCCGCGUGAAGGAUGAAGUAUUUCGGUAUGUAAACUUCGAAAGAAUAGGAAGAAUUAAUGACGGUACUAUUUAUAAGGUCCGGCUAACUACGUGCCAGCAGCCGCGGUAAUACGUAGGGACCAAGCGUUGUUCGGAUUUACUGGGCGUAAAGGGCGCGUAGGCGGCGCGGUAAGUCACUUGUGAAAUCUCUGAGCUUAACUCGGAACGGUCAACUGAUACUGUCACACUAGAGUACAGAAGGGGCAAUCGGAAUUCUUGGUGUAGCGGUGAAAUGCGUAGAUAUCAAGAGGAACACCUGAGGCGAAGGCGGGUUGCUGGGCUGAUACUGACGCUGAGGCGCGAAAGCUAGGGUAGCAAACGGGAUUAGAUACCCCCGUAGUCCCUGAGCGGGCUGGCAAGGCGCAU
RNAcentral lists this ribosomal RNA (447 nucleotides) under uncultured bacterium. Its description in RNAcentral is "bacterial SSU rRNA". It matches the Rfam family "Bacterial small subunit ribosomal RNA", at positions 355 to 825 of the family's 1533-position model. The record is from RNAcentral.